AGAGCUAUUCAGAAACUUGGGCCAAAACCGGAAAUUACCCGCUUCAAAGGUCUGGGUGAGAUUUCACCAGAAGAAUUCGGAAAUUUUAUUGGAGAAGAUAUCCGGCUGGAACCAAUUAUUUUACACAAAGACACUUCCAUUUCUAAACUGCUUACUUAUUAUAUGGGCAAAAAUACGCCCGAAAGGCAGCGGUUUAUUAUUGAGAAUCUGCGGGUAGAAAAAGACCUGACAACCGCCGAAACUUUACCUAUUGAAAAAGCAGAAGAGGUAGAAGUAGAGUAAAAGAAUUUGUAAUAAUUACAAUAGGCUGUUAGAGAUAUGGGAUAGUAGAACAAUAAAUCGGAAAGAUUGAGCAAUAUAUCAUUGUAACUAUUUGCUCUAAUCUUAGCAUCUUUGAGUGCUCAACCGGGCACAUUCAUUGUUUUACAUUAACCUGUUGCCACAUGGAUUUAAACGAACUCAGAAGCCAGAUAGACCAGUUAGAUAAUGAAAUGCUUCAAC
RNAcentral lists this unclassified non-coding RNA (501 nucleotides) under plant metagenome. RNAcentral describes it as "partial contains 5.8S ribosomal RNA, internal transcribed spacer 2, and large subunit ribosomal RNA". The record is from RNAcentral.